GGCAAGGAGCGGCUAUAGUGGCAAAGCCCGGGCUGAGGGGCUGAGGAACGCCGGUCAGAGUACAGAGACUGGCUGGAGGCUGUGUCUCCAGAAGCCGGCGUGGGCGCAGGUCUGGGUCUCUCUGCGUGAAGGAAGAUGACAGUCGGGAGGGGAGCCACCACGGAGACAAGCAGUCACGAGAGCUAUGAGGAGCGGCUGGCAGAGAGGUGUUUGUGGUGAUUUAUAGGAGCCGAGGGCUGCAGAGAGGGAUGUGGAUGUUAUCAGCUCGGUGGAUUAAAUGCCCAUUUACAUUGUUAUUGACAUAUAAAUUAUCUGUGCCAAGCAGACAUUGAGGCAGAGAAAUCCCGGGGCAGGAAUGCGGCACACGCCCCAGGAUAUGGACUCUUCUUUGCCCAAAUCUGUCCUUUGGGCUCUCGUAAAGUGAAUUGCAGACCUGGAGUGAAACCCUGGUCCUCAUCCUCAAGAUGUCAGUGGCAGCCUCCUUCACCUCCAAGGCACCGUUGGCCAGCCAGGUUCCCAAGUGGCUUUCAAGAAGAUGGCAAGACCUUUGAAGAGAUAGCACAAUCUCCCCUCUGGUGGGACCUUGUCUGGUGUGCACUCGUAGGUGUUGUGUGGGUCACUUGGAUCUGCUGUGGAUUUAGAAUAUCGCUGAAGGAGAUUUUAUGCCUGGGAAAUGGAACCGAUUUCUGAGUCAAGCCAACAGCAGAAGAGAAAGGCAGUCACUCAUGGACUGGAAGACCAAAAGAGGAUAAUGGCAGCUGAAGAGAAAGAGGGCAAGUUAAAGGUGAUCCGCCCACAGCUGUCUUCUCUGGAAGUGCCCCGAGGACACUCAUCAGGUGUGAUGUUCCCCUCCUGACAACAUGGAGUCCCAGGGGCAAGCUCCCACAAGUCCCAUGAGGCGCCCUGGGCACAUCAGCGUUGGGUCCCCUCUUGCCUUCCUGUCCUGCCCACAUGGGGUUUCUUUCAGAAACCAAGUCACAGAGGCCUCAGACCAGAAGAGGGCAGGACCCGGUGGUAAGAAGCGACAAGCGGGACUUCCAUAGAACAAUGUGAGGUGCACUCUCACCCUGAACUCUUGGGGAAGGGUCUAGGCCCUGCCCUAUAUGAAAUGACAGACUAUGGACACCCCCAUGGAGGGCCUCACCCUCCCUGGGAG
This is a long non-coding RNA of Mesocricetus auratus (golden hamster), 1156 nucleotides long. RefSeq lists it as uncharacterized. The transcript is spliced from 4 exons. NCBI's taxonomy places the organism in Eukaryota, Metazoa, Chordata, Mammalia, Rodentia, Cricetidae. The record is from RefSeq and is a predicted model, not a curated record.